AUUCCUUCUCUCUCUGGUCCCUUAGAUUUAUUCCAUUUUCUCAGACGAGCUCAAAUGUCUGCAAUGGCGGCUUGCACUGUGAAUGUGCUCAGGUGACUGGCUCCAGCGACUCUGCUUCAUCGACGUGCUGCGUGGUGCUCAGCCUUGGAAGAAGGCUAUGCUCAUCUAUUUGAAGAGAAGUGCAUAUGAGAAGUAUAUAGAAAAUUACUACCUCCUUAUAUAAGUUUCAGAAAGUCUUGAUCCCAGUUUUGCAAGAGACAGGUAGGUUACACAAGGCAAUCUCAUCUGAUGUUGGGUGAUUUCAUUAAGGUACUUUCCAAUUUACUGUAUAAUCUUAAUCUGUCAUUGGUGAGAGAAAAAUU
Long non-coding RNA from Humulus lupulus (European hop), 362 nucleotides. RefSeq lists it as uncharacterized. The transcript has 3 exons. The record is from RefSeq and is a predicted model, not a curated record. NCBI's taxonomy places the organism in Eukaryota, Viridiplantae, Streptophyta, Magnoliopsida, Rosales, Cannabaceae.